Molecule: ribosomal RNA, 831 nt
Filed under: uncultured Alphaproteobacteria bacterium
Lineage: Bacteria; Pseudomonadati; Pseudomonadota; Alphaproteobacteria
Description: bacterial SSU rRNA
Rfam family: Bacterial small subunit ribosomal RNA
Source: RNAcentral
CAUGCAAGUCGAACGAAGUAGCAAUACUUAGUGGCAGACGGGUGAGUAACAUGUGGGUAUCUGCCCUAUGGCCUGGAAUAACACGAGGAAACUUGUGCUAAUACCGGAUAAGUCUUAACGGAGAAAGCUUUAUGCACCAUUGGAUGAGCCCGCACUUGAUUAGUUUGUUGGUAGGGUAAUGGCCUACCAAGACUGUGAUCAAUAGCUGAUUUGAGAGGAUGAUCAGCCACAUUGGGACUGAGACACGGCCCAAACUCCUACGGGAGGCAGCAGUGGGGAAUCUUGCACAAUGGAGGAAACUCUGAUGCAGCGAUGCCGCGUGAGUGAAGAAGGCCCUUGGGUUGUAAAGCUCUUUCGUCGGGGAAGAAAAUGACUGUACCCGAAUAAGAAGGUCCGGCUAACUUCGUGCCAGCAGCCGCGGUAAUACGAAGGGACCUAGCGUAGUUCGGAAUUACUGGGCUUAAAGAGUUCGUAGGUGGUUGAAAAAGUUGGUGGUGAAAUCCCAGAGCUUAACUCUGGAACUGCCAUCAAAACUUUUCAGCUAGAGUAUGAUAGAGGAAAGCAGAAUUUCUAGUGUAGAGGUGAAAUUCGUAGAUAUUAGAAAGAAUACCAAUUGCGAAGGCAGCUUUCUGGAUCAUUACUGACACUGAGGAACGAAAGCAUGGGUAGCGAAGAGGAUUAGAUACCCUCGUAGUCCAUGCCGUAAACGAUGUGUGUUAGACGUUGGAAAUUUAUUUUCAGUGUCGCAGCGAAAGCGAUAAACACACCGCCUGGGGAGUACGACCGCAAGGUUAAAACUCAAAUGAAUUGACGGGGACCCGCACAAGUAGU